UAACCUGCCCAAGAGAUCGGGAUAACACCUGGAAACAGAUGCUAAUACCGGAUAACAACAGAUGAUGCCUAUCAACUGUUUAAAAGAUGGUUCUGCUAUCACUCUUGGAUGGACCUGCGGUGCAUUAGCUAGUUGGUAGGGUAACGGCCUACCAAGGCGAUGAUGCAUAGCCGAGUUGAGGGACUGAUCGGCCACAAUGGAACUGAGACACGGUCCAUACUCCUACGGGAGGCAGCAGGC
RNAcentral lists this ribosomal RNA (240 nucleotides) under uncultured Lactobacillus sp. RNAcentral describes it as "partial 16S ribosomal RNA". It matches the Rfam family "Bacterial small subunit ribosomal RNA", at positions 122 to 354 of the family's 1533-position model. The record is from RNAcentral. Lineage: Bacteria; Bacillati; Bacillota; Bacilli; Lactobacillales; Lactobacillaceae.